This 74-nucleotide transfer RNA is filed under the name Pteropus alecto (black flying fox). It matches the Rfam family "tRNA". From Rfam's summary of the family: Transfer RNA (tRNA) molecules are approximately 80 nucleotides in length. Their secondary structure includes four short double-helical elements and three loops (D, anti-codon, and T loops). Further hydrogen bonds mediate the characteristic L-shaped molecular structure. tRNAs have two regions of fundamental functional importance: the anti-codon, which is responsible for specific mRNA codon recognition, and the 3' end, to which the tRNAs corresponding amino acid is attached (by aminoacyl-tRNA synthetases). tRNAs cope with the degeneracy of the genetic code in two manners: having more than one tRNA (with a specific anti-codon) for a particular amino acid; and 'wobble' base-pairing, i.e. permitting non-standard base-pairing at the 3rd anti-codon position. The record is from Rfam by way of RNAcentral. Lineage: Eukaryota; Metazoa; Chordata; Mammalia; Chiroptera; Pteropodidae. RNAcentral also lists the same sequence under 1 other name.
GGCUCCGUAGCAUGGUGGUUAGCAUGUCUGCUUUACAUGCAGAAGGUCCUGGGUUCACACCCCAGGUGGAGCCA